Molecule: ribosomal RNA, 495 nt
Filed under: uncultured microorganism
Description: bacterial SSU rRNA
Rfam family: Bacterial small subunit ribosomal RNA
Source: RNAcentral
GAGUUUGAUCGUGGCUCAGGAUGAACGCUGGCGGCGUGCUUAACACAUGCAAGUCGGACGGACUCAUAUUGAAACCUAGUGAUUUAUGAGUUAGUGGCGGACGGGUGAGUAACGCGUGGAAAACCUGCCGUAUACUGGGGGGAUAACACUUAGAAAUAGGUGCUAAUACCGCAUAAGCGCACAGCUUCGCAUGAAGUGGUGUGAAAAACUCUGGUGGUAUACGAUGGUUCCGCGUCUGAUUAGCUUGUUGGCGGGGUAAUGGCUCACCAAGGCGACGAUCAGUAGCCGGCCUGAGAGGGUGAACGGCCACAUUGGGACUGAGACACGGCCCAAACUCCUACGGGAGGCAGCAGUGGGGAAUAUUGCACAAUGGGGGAAACCCUGAUGCAGCGACGCCGCGUGAGUGAAGAAGUAUUUCGGUAUGUAAAGCUCUAUCAGCAGGGAAGAAAUAGCGACCUUUGGGUCACCAGACGGUACCUGAUUAAGAAGCCCCGG